RNAcentral lists this ribosomal RNA (468 nucleotides) under uncultured bacterium. RNAcentral describes it as "partial 16S ribosomal RNA". It matches the Rfam family "Bacterial small subunit ribosomal RNA", at positions 28 to 507 of the family's 1533-position model. The record is from RNAcentral.
GACGAACGCUGGCGGCGUGCUUAACACAUGCAAGUCGAACGGAAAGACCCUGCUUUUGUGGGGUGCUCGAGUGGCGAACGGGUGUGUAACACGUGAGUAAACUGUCCUUGACAUAGGGAUAACUUCUGGAAAAACGGGCUAAUAUCGCAUAGGAGCUACUGAUGCGUGGUGGGCGAUGGAAAGAUUCGGCGGUUGUGGAUAUAAUGGCUGGUUAUGAGCUUGUUGGGCGGGUAGUGGCUUACCAAGGCUUCGACGGGUAGCCGGCAUGAGAGCGUGACCAGCCACAAUGGGACUGCGAGACGGCGCAGACUCCUACGGGAGGCAGCAGUGGGGAAUAUUGCACAGUAAGCGGACGCCAGAUGCAACGACGCCGCGUGCGGGAUGACGUCCUACGGGUUGUAAACCGCUUUCGCCUGUGACGAAGCGUGAGUGACGGUAAUGGGUAAAGAAGCACCGGCUAACUACGUG